Pteropus alecto (black flying fox) is the source of this 2635-nucleotide long non-coding RNA. RefSeq lists it as uncharacterized. The transcript is spliced from 2 exons. The record is from RefSeq and is a predicted model, not a curated record. NCBI's taxonomy places the organism in Eukaryota, Metazoa, Chordata, Mammalia, Chiroptera, Pteropodidae.
GAAGGGCCGUUUGGAAAAAAGGCCACACAACUUGUAAGCCAGGGAGUCACAAACCAAUGACCCACUGGCCUAAUCUGGCUCACAGACAUGUGCUUUUCUAGUCAUCAUUAUAUUUAACCAUUUUUCUGUUUAGAAAAAAAAAGUGCAGCUCAUGUAGGAAUGCUUCGUUUUCUAAUUUGACAUUUUCUGCGCUCGAACUACUAAAAACAGAAUAUGAUAAACAGAAUAAUGUCAGUUGUUUCCUGAGACUAUCAAUAUACUACAGCAAUGCGAAAAUAAUAAUAAAACAAGAUAUUUCAUGGCAAACUUUGGGAGUAAGGUUAGGACUGUAAUCCGUGAGUUAUCUCAGAGCAAACGGGAAAGGGGUUAAAAACAUUUCGAAUUGGUUGCCAUCAUUUAAACUCAGCAGCAAACUUUCAAGUGGUCUAGCAACACUGGGCCUACAUUCCCACAUGGCAACUGCGAAAGGGCUCCAGUCCAGAGGGGCUGUCCCCUUGGAGGGAGGUGGGGGCUAUGCUCUCCAGGUCCCUGCCAUCUCCCAUUGCCUGUGCCCUUGACCUGGCUCCUGCUAUGUAAGGAGGUCAGAUACAGGUCCCUAAAACACCCCCUGAGCACUGCACCUACCCAAUAGGACUGACUUGGGCAGAGCAUCUCAGUUGAUGAAGCACAUCCCCAUAUACUUUUCUGUUUUAUUUCCACAGGCCACAGAAGAGGAGAUUCCCAUUGUACAAGAAGGAAAUAUAAGUACAGAGAGUCGAAAGUACCAUUUCCAGACUGGGCCUUAGGGUACAGACAUGGAUAAGAUGGCCCUCUGCCCUCAAGGAUCCCAGUUAUUAAUGUGGGUCUUCCCCUCUCUGAAAGUGUGUGCAAAUUUAUGUUUGGUGACUGCAUUCUUCUGGGGAGGUGAUCUCUAGUUCUUGGCAACAAAUAAAUGCCACCAAGUGUGAUGAGUGGUGUCACACUGGGACAGAUGAAUCAUGGAUGAGUCAAGAAAGGAAUCAGGAGGCCAUACUUGAACAGAAAGCUGAAUGAUGAAUGUCUGCCAGGCAGCCCAUGGAGGGGCAGGGGGUGGGGAAAACAUUUAAGGAGAAUCAGAAUGGCACCAGAUACAGAGGCUGGCUGAUGGCAGCCUGGGGUGGCUUUGGAAUCCAGGAUGGAGACAAGAAGCCUAGAGAGAUAGGCAGCGGCUACACCCAAGGGCCUUUAGUGCCAGGCUAAGAAGCAUGGGCUCAGUCCCAAAAGUGACAGAGAAUCAAUGAAGGCUUGCCAGAGUAUCCUCAGCUAGGGCUUAGCUGGCAACAUGUCAGGGCUCUGGAGCAAGGGCCUCAGGUGCCCUGAAGACACAGAAGGAAGAAUCUGUAUUCCAAGGGCAAGAUGAAAACACCAAACACCAGGAGAGAGCUCUUGGUUCAAAACACUGGGUCCACACUCUCCCAGUUUGCCUUUUGCUUUGAGGGCUGGGCUCUCCUCUGCAGGCUCUGCCUCUUUAGUAGCCUUUAAAUGCUUGUGCUCCUCACAGCCUGCUCCUUGGCUGCCCUCUCAGUACCUUCUGGCUGACCCCUUCUGGCCAUGGCAUCAAGUGCCAUCUAUGUGCUGACAACUCCCACUACUCCCAAUCUAUUCCCUUCAGCCUGGCCCCCUCUCUUCUAGGCUUGCGGCCCAUAUAACCACCUGCCUAUUUGACAGUUCUGCUGGAGAGAAAGGGUCACAAUUCUAAAAGGCACCUCAAAAACUUGCCUGGAACCAAACUCGUGAUCAUCCCACAGAAAUCCAGCCCCCUCCACUGUUCACCUCUGUCCGUUUGGCUGGAAUCCGUACUUACUACACCAUGUCUGAAAGUCUUCUCAGACGCAUUCACUUUAAUUCUCUCCAUUUCCGCCACUGCCUCUUCUAGACUACGGCAGCCUCCUAACUCAAUUUCUCCAACUACUCUUGUGCCUCUGAUCCCUUCCAAAGUUGCCAGAAAAAUCUUAAGGUGUAAACAUAAUUACGUCACUCCCUGGCUUUAACCCUCAAUGUCCUCCCAAAGCUCUCAGUUCAAAAAAUUACUAUGGCUUACAAAACCCCAUGAGAAGGUAGCAUUUCUGCCCACCACUAACUUUUCCUGCCCUGAGACCUACUUCCUUCUGGCAGGACCGCUUUCCCCCAAACUAAUCCCUGUAUCUUCAGAUCUCAGCUAUACCCAACUAGGUCAGAUCCUCCAUUGAGCAUCAAGUCCCCUCAGCAAUAUUUAUCUCUUGAGCACCUACAAGGUCCCAGACACUUCUGGAGAUGAAGCAGGGAGAGACUUUACCCUAUUAUCCAAGAGCUUACUGUCUGGCCUGAGUAGGAGAUACAGGGAAUAAAAAUGCAAAUGAGUUUCAGGUUCUGAUAAAUGCCAGAAAAGAAAGAUGUAUGGUAAUGAAGUCAUUCUCACUGCACUCUAUACUUUUCCUUCAUAGUUAUCUGUCACAACCUUUGUGUGUGGCAUUAUUUGAUUAAAGUCAUUGUCUGCCCAUAGCACAGUGCCUGAAGAGUGGACACUCAAGUUGGCUUAUUCGAUUCGCUUCCCCUGGGAUUCACUUUCCCCAUGGUGUCCCUUUGAACUGAAGUGAGAUGAUGUAGCAGUUGGCUGUAUUAAAAGGAAUUUACUGAC